GGAUGAACGCUGGCGGCGUGCCUAAUCCAUGCAAGUCGAGCGAACGGACGAGAAGCUUGCUUCUCUGAUGUUAGCGGCGGACGGGUGAGUAACACGUGGAUAACCUACCUAUAAGACUGGGAUAACUUCGGGAAACCGGAGCUAAUACCGGAUAAUAUUUUGAACCGCAUGGUUCAAAAGUGAAAGACGGUCUUGCUGUCACUUAUAGAUGGAUCCGCGCUGCAUUAGCUAGUUGGUAAGGUAACGGCUUACCAAGGCAACGAUGCAUAGCCGACCUGAGAGGGUGAUCGGCCACACUGGAACUGAGACACGGUCCAGACUCCUACGGGAGGCAGCAGUAGGGAAUCUUCCGCAAUGGGCGAAAGCCUGACGGAGCAACGCCGCGUGAGUGAUGAAGGUCUUCGGAUCGUAAAACUCUGUUAUUAGGGAAGAACAUAUGUGUAAGUAACUGUGCACAUCUUGACGGUACCUAAUCAGAAAGCCACGGCUAACUACGUG
RNAcentral lists this ribosomal RNA (498 nucleotides) under uncultured bacterium. RNAcentral describes it as "partial 16S ribosomal RNA". It matches the Rfam family "Bacterial small subunit ribosomal RNA", at positions 27 to 507 of the family's 1533-position model. The record is from RNAcentral.